CCUACGGGAGGCAGCAGUGGGGAAUAUUGGACAAUGGGGGAAACCCUGAUCCAGCGACGCCGCGUGAGUGAAGAAGUAUUUCGGUACGUAAAGCCCUAUCAGCAGGAAAGAAAAUGACGGUACCUGACUAAGAAGCCCCGGCUAACUACGUGCCAGCAGCAGCGGCAACACGUAGGGGGCCAGCGUUAUCCGGAUUUACGGGGCGUAAUGGGAGCGUAGACGGCAGCGCAAGUCUGGAGUGAAAGGCCGGGGCCCAACCCCGGAACUGCGCAGGAAACUGGGAGGCUGGAGUGCAGGAGAGGUAAGCGGAAUUCCUGGUGUAGCGGUGAAAUGCGUAGAUAUCAGGAGGAACACCGGCGGCGAAGGCGGCUUCCUGGACUGUAACUGACGUUGAGGCUCGAAGGCGUGGGGAGCGAACAGGAUUAGAUACCCGGGUAGUC
Molecule: ribosomal RNA, 440 nt
Filed under: uncultured bacterium
Lineage: Bacteria
Description: partial 16S ribosomal RNA
Rfam family: Bacterial small subunit ribosomal RNA
Source: RNAcentral